Mauremys reevesii (Reeves's turtle) is the source of this 446-nucleotide long non-coding RNA. RefSeq lists it as uncharacterized. The record is from RefSeq and is a predicted model, not a curated record. The transcript has 3 exons. NCBI's taxonomy places the organism in Eukaryota, Metazoa, Chordata, Testudines, Geoemydidae.
CCCUGGAGUGCAGAUGGCUCCACUGCUGUGCUAGCUGCAAACUGCCAGAGCUGAAUAGAUCCCACAGCUGUUAAAAUAACCAGUGGUUCACUGUCCGAGGCCACAGGUUGAAAAUGGAAGAAUGACGACUACAAGACAAGCGUUCACAUACGGUGUCACUGUUCGGUUCUCUUGCAAGGAAGGCUACCUGCUCCAUGGCAGUAGAGUGAGUCAGUGUCAGGAUGACAACACCUGGAAUCCUCCUGUGCCAAGUUGUCAGCCCGGAUAUGGAGACGGCAGGAAGGAAAAGCCAUUGUUUUGCCAGCCUGCCCAAACAACAGCUAAGGCCAGCUCCGAGGAUGACAGUUGAGAAAGCAGUUGGAGAGUCUUGAAUGGAGAUUGCCCUCUUGGCAAUUCUAAAAUUUUACAAUAUACAGCUGAACAAGUGUGACACAGGCUUUAUAAAU